RNAcentral lists this ribosomal RNA (332 nucleotides) under uncultured bacterium. RNAcentral describes it as "bacterial SSU rRNA". It matches the Rfam family "Bacterial small subunit ribosomal RNA", at positions 568 to 898 of the family's 1533-position model. The record is from RNAcentral.
UCCGUAGGCGGUGUGGCAAGUACGGAAAGUGAAAUCUCUGGGCUUAACCCAGAGGCUGCUUCCGAAACUGCCGUGCUAGAGUGUGAGAGAGGCGAGUGGAAUUGCGGGUGUAGCGGUGAGAUGCGUAGAUAUCCGCAGGAACAUCCGAGGCGAAAGCGGCUCGCUGGAUCACAACUGACGCUGAGGGACGAAAGCUAGGGGAGCAAACAGGAUUAGAUACCCUGGUAGUCCUAGCCCUAAACCAUCAGGACUUGGGGUUUGCCCUGUACGGGGCAAGUCCCGUAGCUAACGCGUUAAGUCCUGCGCCUGGGGAGUACGGUCGCAAGGCUGAA